UUGCAUCUCAACUCAAACUCAUCUCUUUCUCCCCCCAUUGUUGCUUAAUCAGUUGAUACGUUUUUCACUCUGCAAUGGCUUCAGUUUAUGAUAAAAUUGCAAGCCUCAAUCCGAUUAGAGAUAAUUGAAAUAUUCUUGUGAGGGUUAUAAGGCUGUGGACCAUUCGUGUUGGAGGACAAACAACUAAGAUCGAUAUGAUUAUCAUGGAUGAUAAGAGAUAGCAUACUAUGUGAGCAAUGAUGAAUCUUACAAGGAGUGAUACAAGUUGGUUACCUCUAACCAUGUGUCAUUACUUGCUUCUGGUUAAGUUAUGUAGGACACCUGCAGAACAAGAAGGAAUGAAUCAACAAAUCAUAACAAAAAAUUAUGUGAAGAUAUAAAGGGAUAGUGUUGUACGUAGUUGAAGUUUAGAGGUUGUGACCGCCAUUGUAUGUUACUAAUGUAAUGUGUUGAUUCAUAUUAAAAAAUUUGUUUGGUGAUUGUGGUAGAUAAAUGUUAUAACAGUAGACCUAUAGUUCCCUCUUUGUCCAAUUAUGUAAGGGAUGUUUUACAAUGUAUGGGAUUGACGAGGUUACCCUAAUAAAUGAAAACAGAGGUUUAUAUGCCCCUGCUAUAUGCUUUCUAUCCUUUUGGUUA
Molecule: long non-coding RNA, 636 nt
Organism: Lotus japonicus
Lineage: Eukaryota; Viridiplantae; Streptophyta; Magnoliopsida; Fabales; Fabaceae
Exons: 3
Source: RefSeq, a predicted model, not a curated record